This 443-nucleotide ribosomal RNA is filed under the name uncultured bacterium. RNAcentral describes it as "partial 16S ribosomal RNA". It matches the Rfam family "Bacterial small subunit ribosomal RNA", at positions 338 to 795 of the family's 1533-position model. The record is from RNAcentral.
CCUACGGGAGGCAGCAGUGGGGAAUAUUGGGCAAUGGGCGCAAGCCUGACCCAGCAACGCCGCGUGAAGGAAGAAGGCUCUCGGGUUGUAAACUUCUUUUAUCAGGGACGAAGCAAGUGACGGUACCUGAUGAAUAAGCCACGGCUAACUACGUGCCAGCAGCCGCGGUAAUACGUAGGUGGCAAGCGUUAUCCGGAUUUACUGGGUGUAAAGGGCGUGUAGGCGGGAAAGCAAGUCAGAGGUGAAAACCAUGGGCGCAAACUGUGGGCUGCAUUUGAUACUGUUUUUCUUGAGUUCUGGAGAGGCAGACGGAAUUCCUAGGGUAGGGGUGAAAUGGGUAGAUAUUAGGAGGAACACCAGGGGCGAAGGCCGUCUGAUGGACAGCAACUGACGGUGAGGGGCGAAAGCGUGGGGAGCAAACAGGAAUAGAUAACCGGGUAGUC